Molecule: transfer RNA, 74 nt
Filed under: Nocardioidaceae bacterium
Lineage: Bacteria; Bacillati; Actinomycetota; Actinomycetes; Propionibacteriales; Nocardioidaceae
Also listed under: 1 other name
Description: tRNA-Ile
Rfam family: tRNA
About the family: Transfer RNA (tRNA) molecules are approximately 80 nucleotides in length. Their secondary structure includes four short double-helical elements and three loops (D, anti-codon, and T loops). Further hydrogen bonds mediate the characteristic L-shaped molecular structure. tRNAs have two regions of fundamental functional importance: the anti-codon, which is responsible for specific mRNA codon recognition, and the 3' end, to which the tRNAs corresponding amino acid is attached (by aminoacyl-tRNA synthetases). tRNAs cope with the degeneracy of the genetic code in two manners: having more than one tRNA (with a specific anti-codon) for a particular amino acid; and 'wobble' base-pairing, i.e. permitting non-standard base-pairing at the 3rd anti-codon position.
Source: RNAcentral
GUGGCGGUAGCUCAGCUGGUCAGAGCAGGGGACUCAUAAUCCCUGGGUCGUGGGUUCGAGCCCCACCCGCCGCA